This is a long non-coding RNA of Apis florea (little honeybee), 1037 nucleotides long. RefSeq lists it as uncharacterized. The record is from RefSeq and is a predicted model, not a curated record. Lineage: Eukaryota; Metazoa; Arthropoda; Insecta; Hymenoptera; Apidae.
UAUCAUAAUAUAAGAGAAUUAAUAAGAAACGGAAUCCAUGGCGCCAGAUAAUCUCGAUGGCAAAGCUGGAGGUAAUGGACGACCUUUCGAGGGCGCGACGCUCCGCCCCCACCGGAUAAUUCGAGAAACAAUGGCAGCCGGAGACAUGCAGAGGCACGGCGGCACGAUUUCAGUGCAAACACGAAGAUUGACAGCGAAUACUAGAUUCGAAUAUCGCUACACGUUGCCAUGACGAAAACGGAACAGUGCAGGUUAAAGAGGCGAAGGGAAAGGCAGGUCAAAGCAGCGACGCACUGGCCAGGUGCGCAGACAUUCCACUCGCCUUGCGGUACGCUCACCCCUCUUUCCCCGGCCGCGAUUAUUUUCUACCUGGAGCUCCACGUUUAUUUCUUCAUGGCGGAUCGAACGAUAUAUUCGAUACAUCGAACCGAUCCAAAACGAUAGUAUUGUGUGUAUGAAUGAAUUCUCCACGAAGAAGAUUCGAAGAGGUAUAAGGAUGGUGAUCGAAAGAACAAAAAUGGCGGCUACCUGGCGCACUUCUGAGUUAUAAGGAACCUCUAUAAAUGAUCACAGUUUACAUUGAAUCGAAGGAGAAUGAAGGAAAGCUAACAAGCAACAAGUUGGCACGAUCUCUGUAUGGGGUGGGGAAAUGAGAGAAUAAGAAGAACUAUAUAAGUACUUAUAGACAGAGAAGCAGAAAACGGGAAAGCAAUCAUCGUUGGAUUUGAUAGGAAUAUCCGUAGAAACGAAAUGCUUAGCACUACGUAAGAACGAUGUCGUGGCAAGGAGACCGGAUUGGUCGGUCACCUGUUGCCCGCUAGCUGUGAUUGGUCGGGCUCGACAGCGCGUAACGACAGCAAGAGGAAGACAAGUGCAUUGUCGGUUAGUUUAUGAUGGACCAAGAUCAAAAAUAAAUACAAGAAUGUUAAUUUCGUAUUUUUAUUAUAUAUAUUUAUAUACAUAUAAGUUAUUUGCUUUUCUUUGCGAACAAAUUAACCAUAUUGAAAUUACAAAAUAGAUAUAUAUUUAUUCACAUA